UCACAACUGUGAGGUGCAUGUAGUAAGCCCUAGUAGAGAGAUGAAAGAGAGCCUCUUUGCUUACCUGACUCUAUAAAAUGACUCUAUUAAUGCUCAUGUCUCAUGGGAGAUGUGCUUCUCUGAUCUUUAUUUGUUUUACAGACUAGAAAUUUAGUAGGCUAUUGCAUUUGAGCCUUUAAAAAAUAGAAAGAUGACUCCAUUAUCUUCUACAUAUGUAAGUGGCUAUUUAUCAUAUGGAAGUCAAGCCUUCAUCCCAAAGUUCAUCUUAAUUCCCCCAAUAAACUGUAUCCUGGCUGUUAGAGAAUAAAACAAAAGAUUAUGGAUACAUUCAGACAUUAAAAAGUAGAGAGAAUAUGAUGAACUCCCAUGCAGCCAUCUCCUACCUUCAAAAACUACCAGCAUUUGGUCAAUCUUGCUCUCCACUAUUUCCUCUCCUGCCUUCUGUUGUAUUUCAAAGCAAAUCCUAGAUGCCAUAUCAUUUAUGCUUGAAAUACUGAAUAGUAGUUCAUGGUGUGUAUGUACUCAGGUAUGGCUUUUUUAUACUUAAAUGUAAGUUUUUUUUUCUUGUAUGGUAAGCGAAGGGAGUGUUCAGAUAGAAUUUUUUGAAGUGUCAAACACUGCUUCUCUAGGUGGUGCUAUAGGAAACCUGUAUAGAGAGACAUUUACACUUGUAAAUGACAUCGUAAGUAGGAUGUGCUUGGGGGAAAUCUUAGGGUAUAAUGUGUGAUUCUCUGCCAUUCUUCUGUUAAAAUUGGCUGCUGUGACAGAGUUGUUUAUGUUAUAAAAUUUAACAUGUUUGACUUUACAUUGCACGUUUCAGAAUAAAGAGGCCCAGUCCUAGUUCGGCUACCACCUCUUACAGACUUUAGGCAAGUCCCACAAACUCUGGACUUCCAUUUCCUUUUUUUUAAAAUUAAAGAUUGACUGGCCCGGGUGAUCUCAGGGUUUGUUUCUGUGGGGUGGGUUAGAAUCAUGUUUCUUCACAUAGCCACAACCCAGUCACUAAAUAAGGUAGAUGAGUGAAAUCCUAUAUCGGGAAGAGUUCUUUAGGCCCUGCUCUCAUUGAUUUGAUUCAUCAGCCUCGGGACUUCUAAGCUCCUUCUUGAUACAGGACAUGGAAAAGCCAGCAUUUUCCUUGGCUCUGAAGGACAGGUGUCUGUUUGUCUUCUUGUAUUGUUCAUGUGUAUGUGUGUAUUCAGGAUAUCUGAUUAUUUUGAAGGACAUUGGACUGCAUGAAGACAGAUGCCUGUAAAGCAGUUCUGUUCUUUUUCCAUUUAUUUGAGAAAAAUAUUUUUGCUCUUCUCUAGGUGCCGACUUAUUAAAACUGACAAAGGAGGAUUUAGUUCAAAUUUGUGGUGCAGCCGAUGGAAUUCGGCUCUAUAAUUCACUGAAGUCAAGGUAAAAUACUGUGAACUGUUUUGCUUGAAAUAAGAAUGUACCUUUCUUUGCGUGGGGAAUUUGGGCAGAAUCUGUUUCCACGCUAGGUUGGCGUGUGUGCCUGUGUGCGCCAUCGAGCAUUGGCAGCAUUGUGCUCACAAGAAGACUGUUUUGUGUACACCUUCAGGGCAGGCCCAGAUAUGAUGCAGGCACUGAUGAGGGCAGAGGUAGACUGUAAGACUGGUAGAAAUGCACAUGGGCAGUACUGAUUUCUUGAAGACGACUGGGUUUGUUGCCAAGAAAACAAAACUUCUAAUUUAGGUGAGCUAUACAGAAUCUAUGGUUUUCAAGGUCAUGACUAUUACUAAACAGUUAUUAAAAAUGUAAACUAAUUGUGAAUUAAAAUGACAGAAACUGUAAAUUGUGCUGGCUUGUAAGAACCAUUUACUAUCAUUGCUCUUUCUAUACUUGUGGUGUGAGAAUUCCAUUAAAAUUGAAUCUUACUGAUUUUUAAUUUGCUGACUUAAUCUUGAAACUUAAAUUUACCAGCAUCUGACAGACCAUCUCAAUGGUUUAGAGUCUGGAUCAUCAUAUUAGACCACCUGUGAUAGUUGGUGUGAGGUGUGUGGUUUUUAUAUUUUUAUUAGUAAAUUACUUUGUAUAACGAAAUAACAUUAUAAAGUUCUCAUAAGGAAAUAGAACUUAGAUUCCUGUAGUUGUCAUAUUUGUACAUGUGUAAGGCAGCUUUCUCUCCCAGGCUCAUCAGUGGCAUCUUCUGAUUGCAGGUCGGUUAGACCCCGUUUAACCAUCUAUGUCUGCCGGGAGCAGCCAAGCAGCACAGUGCUGCAAGGGCAGCAGCAAGCUGCAAGCAGUGCAAGCGAGAAUGGCAGUGGGGCACCCUAUGUUUAUCAUGCAAUCUACUUGGAAGAAAUGAUUGCCUCAGAAGUUGCUCGAAAACUUGCGCUGGUGUUUAAUAUCCCUCUCCACCAAAUUAAUCAGGUUUACAGACAGGGUCCCACUGGUAUUCACAUUCUUGUUAGUGAUCAGGUAAAUCAAAUCAUUUGUUUUUCCUUUUCAGACUGGUAUUUACUUUUAUACAUGUAAUUGUAGAACUGUAGAAAAAUUCUGUGACCUCUUUUGAAAAUACUUAUGAGAAUCAUUUUCAGAGAGUUGGGAAUCACUUUGGAAGAACUUAUAACCAAGAGUUUCAGGCAUCCUAGUGAUAAUAUGGAAUACAAGCCAAGGAAAACUGGCUUAGCCUCCCCCCAAGCCCUUUAGGAUGCAGCCAAUCACUGGGGCACUCUAGGGAUAGUGGCAGGCUUUGGCCCUUUUUAUGAGGUGAGUCACUGGAUGUGUUUUCCUUUUGUCUAUUAUUUGAUGACUAAUUUAAAAAAACAUGUAAGAUAUAUAAUUUUUCCCCUAGUGAUUGGUGGCAAGUAAUAAUAGAAGAGCACUUUAUGCAAUUUUUGUUCGAGUCAUCAUCCACUGGAGCCGGCAGGGAAUGUGCCCCUGUGGGUCACAUGGGUGACUGACCAGGUCUCUCAGGGACCAUUAUGGACAGGCAUAGUGAACACAAGGCAGUGCAGCACGUGUGCAUCUUUGCUGCCUCACACUGCCUUCAUGAAUUAUCGUUUUGGCCAUUGAGUCCUGUGUUUGUUUGAGAAGAAUGUUUACUGUUUUAAAAUCAUUUUAAGAAACGACAGUUGGAUCUUAAUUGUACUUACGCAUUUACUUUAUCCUUCCAGAUGGUUCAGAAUUUUCAAGAUGAGAGUUGUUUUUUAUUCUCCACAGUAAAAGGUACUUUGCAUGUGUGUGUGUCUUAAAAUGCUGGAAUCAUGAGAGAUGGUGUGUGCCUCUAAUUAGUGCCUCUCGUGUUUAUUCUUUAAAAUGAUUGCUUUACUCAUUUUAAGAAGAAAGUUUGAUAAAUGAGAAUAUUUCUAGUGGUUGUAACAGAAAUUAGCAUAUAAGGAAGAGGAGUCAGUCUUUCUAGAUGACUGGAAAAAAAAAUCUCAGUUCAUUCAGCCAGCGUCUUACUGAGCACUUUGUGUCAGACACCGUGCUUCUGUCGCUCAGUGGAUCUAUUGAAUAAAACAGAAUCCAUGAAACUCCUAUUGGGGAAAGCAAACCAAAAUUGGCCAAGAGAUACACAAAAUUCCCAAUAUGUUAAGUUCCACGAAGGAACAGGAAAGUGUGGGGUACUUCUGGAUAAGGGAGAUCUGGGUUGAGGGGAAUAUGAAACUGUAAGGCAAGGCUUCUCUGAGGAGGUGUUAUUAAUCCUGAGACUUGAAGAAUGAGAAGAAGCGGGAGCUGGCCAUUGGAUUAGCAUCCCCAGGCAACGUGGGGCUGUGUGCAAAGAAAACACCUGGCUUCUUGGAAAGCCUGGCAGUGGGCCAUGUAGGUGCCAUGCAGUGUGUGAGGGUGAGCGGAUCAGGGCGAAUCAAAGCAGGAGGCCGGGUCUGGCAUGUGGGGACCGGAUGAUGAUGGUAGUUCGGAUUUACUUGAAAUGCAUUGGGUUGUCACUGAAGUUGUUUAAACAAAGGAGUAGUAAUGUGACUAGAUUUUUCUUUCACUUUCACAACUCUGUGGAGACAGAUGAGAAGGUGGCAAAACAAGGCAGGAGAUAUCCAGGUGAAAGGUGAUGGUAUCUUACACGUUUAUAGACAGGGUCCCAGUGGGCUCCACUUUUGAGGGAGGAAUAGUUCUGACACCUUAUUUUCUGUGGAAAGUAACUGGGCAGAUGGUGAUCUCAUUGAAGAGGUAAGUAUGGUUGGGGUAAAUCAACCAAGAGUUUGAUUUUGGAUAUGUAGAAAUGUCAAGUAGGCAGUUGACUAUUACCAGUCUGGGGCUCAGAGAAGAGGCCUGGGCUUGAGAUGUAAAUUUGGAAACCUUCAGCAUAUCAACAGUGACUCAAAGCUGUAGAAGUUGUUAAGGUCAUUUAGGGAGAGAAUAUGAAAAGAGCCAGGACCAGGCUUAGGUGGCUCCAACAUUAAAGAGGAGGGAUUCCUAAAUGUAAAAUUAUUUGAGAAGAGAUCAUACAUUCAUAGACUGUUUUAAAAGUCAGGUGAGCUAAGAUCCAAAUCCGGUCUUAGCACAAAAGCUGCCCCUAGAAGAGGGAGAUGUCAUGUGUGUCAGGUGUCCCCAAACUACUGAAAUACUGAUUUUAUUUUGCGCCUCACAUGUUGCGUAUGCCAUCAGGUUACCUGCAAGGCUGAGUUUUAACUCUGAACUGGUUCACUCUUUCAGAAACAUCUUUAGCCUAGUACCCUUCUGCUCAGUCUUUUGUUUUCACAGCAGUACAGUUUUUACCUUGCAUAACUGGCAUUGUCUGAAAAAGAAGACAUAUACUAUAAUUGCAUAGUUUUGUUUUGUGAAACCAGCAGACAUUUUUUGGUAUUAGAAAUCAUAGGAUCUCCCCUCUAAUCUCAAUUUACUGUUUUGUUUUUUUUUUUUUAACUUUGUCGUCAUGAGAAAAAUCAUUUUUUUAUGAAUGCCUAUAUUGCUUCUCACUAUUUACUGAGAAACACUAGGCAAAAGGAAUGAUACAUUUUUAAAAUGUUUGAAAUCUCUGUGAGUAGCUCAGAAAUUUUUCUGGAAAAGGUAGAUGACACAUUUGCAUUUACUCCCUCAGGUCCUCUGCCCUGACACAGUAUAUUUCACCUGUUCUCCUUCUAGCUCUUGCUCCCCUUAUGGACAGCACUAUUAUUGUGUGUCUUGAUAGAUGUCCCCCUACCCCCAGAACUGGCAGACAGUGUUGGAAUGGGGGCGUAGAUAGUGGGCCAGGCUUCGCAGAAUGUCUAAAAAGGGAAUGUGUACAUGAAGUUUUUUGGGGGAAGAGGAGCUAGAGCAAGUUAAUCUGCUUGUUUCUCUAGAAUCAUUUAAAGGUAACCUCUGAAUUGGGAAGGGAGGUUGUAGUUGGCAGGGAGUUUUCCAUUUAAUAGGCUUAAUUUCCUAAGCCUGACUGAAGAAAUACUGUCUUUCCUUUUUCUGCAGCUGAAAAUAGUGAUGGCAUCCACAUAAUUUUGAAGUGAUGUCUUAUAUAGACUGAACUGUAUUCAGUACCAAAUAGUCACGCUUAAAAGUGUGUGAAGACUGAAUCCAAGAAGUCUUGGGAUUGGAUUUUACCAUAUGAAAUGUUUCAUAUUGAAAACACAAGAUGACCUUUCUAAUGAGCUGUAUGAGAGGUGAAUCUCCUCACUGUCACUGCCAUAGCCAAGCAUCCUCAUGAGAGUGAGCACAUCGGCACAGCAUGCAUCCAGCUCUGGAGGCCACGGUGCAGGCAUAGCUGCCUGCUGCUCUGGCAGAGGCCAGUAAAUACAGUUCCUAGAAGCAGCCUUUGCUGUCUUUUUACACUGUAUGUGGUUUGGAAAUGAAUGUAGAAACUUACUGUGGGCAUUUACCUUUCUGUGCCAGUUUGGCUUUUAUUGCCUGAACCUUAUGCUGACCUGGAGAGGAGAUGGGGGACAGUGCUGUUGUGGGGCCAGCAGUGAAUCUGUAUGCGGAGAGUUGUGUUGUGCUGAUGUGGCCGUUGGUGGUCAGGUAAGAGGCUCGGCACCUUCUUGGAAGAAAUCAUGUCUGAGGGUGUACGUUUGAUACGAUCAUGCCAGAUUGGAGAAGAUCCAAGCCAGGAAGAUGGGCUUGAAGCAAACUGCAUUAUCAGGAGUACCUUGGUGAGAGGAUCAGUGUAAAUCCUAAUAGGUACAAAGACUUUUGUGUUUUGGCUUUGUCACAGAUUUAUUGAAAAACUUUUUUGCUUCUGCUUCCAUUUUUAGCAUUUUAGUUUCUGGUUUUCAUUUUUGGAGAUUACUUGCCUUUUAAACUCGUGGUUUUUCUCUCGUUUUCUUCCCUCUCUCCCUCCAUCUCUGACCACCCCCACCCUAACCCCCCACCCCCACCAUCCUAUUAAACAUUUUUAAAGCCCUACCCCAGACAUUGGAAAUAGGUGACCCAAGUAGGGGGAGAAAGUAUUAUUGUUGAUAGCUUCUGACUAGGUGUUAAGGGAUCUUCAUUAUGAACAAGAUGAAUUUUUUUGUGGAAACACUAGAUGUUAUCAAUCAAACACUAAAAUGUAUCAUACAAAUCCCUUAAGCCUCUCAAAUAUUGAGCUUUAGUACAAUCAUGGAUAGACAUUCUGGUGAUGAUUUAGGGGCUUUUAUACACCACAUACUAGCUUCUUUCUCUAUAAGAGUGCCUCUUUCAUAAAACCAAAUGCUUGUCUGCUAGCAUACUUUUCAAAGGGAAUCCACUGUUUUCUCACUUUCCUCCCAUAUCUCCGUCCUUCAUCCAAAACCUUCCCAGAAUCCAUCAGCAAGCAUGUUUGAGGCCUGUGGUGUAGGGGACUGAAUUUUUUUUUUAACUUCUAUUCCAUUUUAAUUGUAGGAUAUCUUUGUCCAUAUACCCAGGUGUCCUGAUUUGAAUGUACUAUUUGAUCCUCAUUGUGUUCAGGCAAAAAAUAGGAAAUGAGUAAUUUUGAGUUUGAAAUCUCUCCCAGAAGACAAACUACUUCAGUGAGUAAAAGCUUUGACAUUUUAUGUUUUAUUCAUAAAGGGGGUUAAUUAAUUAUUUGCUACAAAGAAGCACGAUCUAUUUUCAUCAUCGAUUUGAAAAUAUCUGUAACUCCUAUAGAUCCUAUAGGCAGAGAGUUUUCCUUUCUGACUUUUUCCCUUUGCUUUCGUGUGACCACAUGUUUUCUGUACCAGUCACUGGGGAAAGAAGCGAGUUUAUCUCGUUUGUUUGAAAAGUUUUGCUUGUCUAUUUAGCAUUCCUUUUUGGGUCUCAAGAUUUAUGGAACAAUAAAUGUCAUUUAAUGCUGUGUGCUUAUUUUGAAUUCCUCAUCAGGUUUUAGAAGCGGGGUAAAAAUACUUAGAUGCUUAUCAGACUUGAAAUUAUACUGAGUGGCAUUGAACGUGAGUUUGUCCCAGUGAAACAAACAGGCUAAAUAAAUUUUGGCACCAGCAAAUUUGUUACUUUUUUUUUUAAUAGUAGGAUGUACACAUUUCAGUAUAAUAAAUGUUUUCUGAUUGUUUUGCA
RNAcentral lists this small RNA (7404 nucleotides) under Pan troglodytes (chimpanzee). Its description in RNAcentral is "retained intron". Lineage: Eukaryota; Metazoa; Chordata; Mammalia; Primates; Hominidae. The record is from RNAcentral.